GAUGAACGCUGGCGGCGUGCCUUAUACAUGCAAGUCGAGUGGGUUUAGACCCACGGCAAACGGGUGAGUAACACGUAGGUACUUUCCUUGUCACAGGAAUAACCCUCCGAAAGGAGGGCUAAUACCUGAUGUGAUCGCAAGAUUAAAGGGUAUCCGCAAGGAUUACCGGACAAGAAGAGGCCUGCGGCCUAUCAGCUAGUUGGCGGGGUAAAUGCCCACCAAGGCUAUGACGGGUAGCUGGUCUUAUGAGGAUGAUCAGUCACAUGGGCACUGAGACACGGGCCCAAAUCCUACGGGAGGCAGCAGUAGGGAAUUUUGCGCAAUGGGCGAAAGCCUGACGCAGCGACGCAGCGUGCGGGAUGAAGGCCUUCGGGUCGUAAACCGCUUUUAUAAGGGACGAACUUUGACGGUACCUUAUGAAUAAGAGGUUGCUAACUCUGUG
This 442-nucleotide ribosomal RNA is filed under the name uncultured bacterium. RNAcentral describes it as "partial 16S ribosomal RNA". It matches the Rfam family "Bacterial small subunit ribosomal RNA", at positions 28 to 507 of the family's 1533-position model. The record is from RNAcentral.